Molecule: long non-coding RNA, 1671 nt
Organism: Oncorhynchus masou masou (cherry salmon)
Lineage: Eukaryota; Metazoa; Chordata; Actinopteri; Salmoniformes; Salmonidae
Exons: 5
Source: RefSeq, a predicted model, not a curated record
AGCCAAUGUAGCUAAACAGUAACUCCUCCAGUAUGUGUUGACAUAAUUUCAGGAUUUGUUUUUGGACAGAAGCUGUAGAAAGCGAAUGCCUUCGGGAACCACCUUCUUGCACAGACUGAGAAGGGUGUGGAGGUUUUUGACGAGUCCUGUUGUCAAUCAAUGUGAGACUGAACAUCGACAAGGCGCAGGAGAAACAGAAGGAGCUACCGGGGGAGAAUCAAGAAGGGGAAGUAAGAAGGGCAAUCUGGGCAAAUUACUUAAGUUUGGAAGAAGGACGAAAGGAAGGCAAGACUUGGGGGAACCUCGCUGCUUUUUCGCUCCUAGCUGGAGUCACCAUCCGUUAAGGGUUACCUCGGUGGAAGCUAACAACCUUCUCCAGUUGGACAGUCUACCACCGAAAGCCCUGAUGCCCUGCACUUCAGUGAAGCCCAUUAGACAAAGACCAUCGACUGUCCGAGCACCCCAGGAGGUAUCCCAUCCACCAGAGCCAGUGAGUUCAGAUCAGUCUGGUUCUCUGAGUCAGAAGGGUACCAGCCUGAUAUCCUCCAUUACCAACCACUCUCCAACUUUUCAUUACAUCUGCUACAGCUACUGUUGUCAUUAUCUGCUCAGACCGUUUUCGUGCUCUAUCAUGCUGGGCACAUAUGUGUGAUACACAGAUUAACUAACUAAAAACACUAGCACUGCAAACACUCCGAACAAAGAGCGCAGCAGUGCCUGGACUUUGCAGUCCCCCUUCUGAGACUGGCUGCCUGUUGAGAACAAGUGACAGGCAGAAUCUCUCACCCACACAGCAACCACCUCUUUUAUAUUCCACACACCAGAAUUCUGUAUUUUAGUUUUUGAUUGCCAUGAGUGUAUAAAAAUAUUAGUGCCACAACUGUACCAAAAUAAUAUCAAUGUUUAUGUAUUAAUCUUUAAUAUUGCCAGGUUGGUUUUCACAGCUGUUUCACAAGGUGUUAAUUGUAAGGUAUCCCUUGAUGGUAUUUAUUAGUUCCACAUUACUUAUUGUUGUGUCCUCGGAUCUAUAAUAGAUACAUAUAUAUUCAACCACAAGGGUGUGCUAGUGAGCUAUGCAAGAUAGGAAAAAAAUGUAUCAUACUAGAGGACUACGAAAUUAUAUUAUUUCGGUGUAGAUGAGGGAAGGGCAGGUUAAGAUAUAAACAUGACAGCCAGACAAGCCAGUGUACGAAUCAAACAGAUUUGCUAAUGAAUGGAAAGGAAAUUAGCUGAUUUUUGUGAUCUGUAAGGGAAGUAACAAUGUGUCAAGCAGAUUAGUUAACCUCUGAAGCUCUCAACCUCAACACUAGAUGAGAAGAGUUCCUCUGUCCAGUGUCUGUGUUCUUUUGCCCAUCUUAAUCUUUUCUUUUAAUGGCCAGUUUGAGCUAUGGCUUUCUUUGCAACUCUGCCUUGAAAGCCAGCAUCCCGGAGUCACCUCUUCACUGUUGACGUUGAGACUGGUGUUUGGCGGGUGCUAUUCAAUGAAGCUGCUAGUUGAGACUGAAAUGUAAAAAUGUAUAAAACCAUAACUAGAGACUCAAUGAAUAGGGUACAACAAAGGGCUGCUGUUUUUAUGAGUAAGUGCAUGUCUGUUUUUAUUCAACACUUUGUGCAUUUUAUGGAUUAAAGUGUUGAACAUCCUCCAUACUUUCACUCACACUACAACCAGCA